Paramuricea clavata is the source of this 366-nucleotide non-coding RNA. The record is from the annotation of a GenBank genome assembly. Lineage: Eukaryota; Metazoa; Cnidaria; Anthozoa; Malacalcyonacea; Plexauridae.
CUGAAGAAUUCCAAACUCAAAAUCCUUUACCCCUUAAGAAUUCCAAACUCAAAACACUGUACCCCUGAAGAAUUCCAAACUCAAAAUCCUUUACCCCUAAAGAAUUCCAAACUCAAAACACUGUACCCCUGAAGAAUUCCAAACUCAAAAUCCUUUACCCCUUAAAAAUUCCAAACUCAAAACACUGUACCCCUGAAGAAUUCCAAGCUCAAAACACUGUACCCCUGAAGAAUUCCAAACUCAAAACAUUUUACCCCUGAAGAGUUCCAAGCUCAAGACACUCUACCCCUGAAGAAUUCUAGGUAUCCUCGACAGGGGGGGGGUACGGAUAUUAAAUGGAAUAGCCCAAUUCGCCGUUAAGUUGCA